UACAGAGGUCUCAAGCGUUGUUCGGAUUCAUUGGGCGUAAAGGGUGCGUAGGCGGCGCGGUAAGUCGGGUGUGAAAUCUUGGAGCUUAACUCCGAAACUGCAUUCGAUACUGCCAUGCUUGAGGACUGGAGAGGAGACUGGAAUUUACGGUGUAGCGGUGAAAUGCGUAGAUAUCGUAAGGAAGACCAGUGGCGAAGGCGGGUCUCUGGACAGUUCCUGACACUGAGACACGAAGGCCAGGGGAGCAAACGGG
Molecule: ribosomal RNA, 253 nt
Filed under: uncultured bacterium
Lineage: Bacteria
Description: partial 16S ribosomal RNA
Rfam family: Bacterial small subunit ribosomal RNA
Source: RNAcentral